UCGGGGGCAUCAGUAUUCAAUUGUCAGAGGUGAAAUUCUUGGAUUUAUUGAAGACUAACUACUGCGAAAGCAUUUGCCAAGGAUGUUUUCAUUAAUCAGGAACGAAAGUUAGGGGAUCGAAGACGAUCAGAUACCGUCGUAGUCUUAACCAUAAACUAUGCCGACUAGGGAUCGGACGAUGUUAUUUUUUGACUCGUUCGGCACCUUACGAGAAAUCAAAGUGCUUGGGCUCCAGGGGGAGUAUGGUCGCAAGGCUGAAACUUAAAGAAAUUGACGGAAGGGCACCACCAGGGGUGGAGCCUGCGGCUUAAUUUGACUC
This 319-nucleotide ribosomal RNA is filed under the name Fusarium sp. KUFC-D-120. RNAcentral's name for it is "SSU rRNA". It matches the Rfam family "Eukaryotic small subunit ribosomal RNA", at positions 882 to 1201 of the family's 1831-position model. Lineage: Eukaryota; Fungi; Ascomycota; Sordariomycetes; Hypocreales; Nectriaceae. The record is from RNAcentral.